Molecule: ribosomal RNA, 490 nt
Filed under: uncultured bacterium
Lineage: Bacteria
Description: partial 16S ribosomal RNA
Rfam family: Bacterial small subunit ribosomal RNA
Source: RNAcentral
AUUGAACGCUGGCGGCAGGCCUAACACAUGCAAGUCGAACGGUAACAGGAAGCAGCUUGCUGCUUUGCUGACGAGUGGCGGACGGGUGAGUAAUGUCUGGGAAACUGCCCGAUGGAGGGGGAUAACUACUGGAAACGGUAUCUAAUACCGCAUAACGUCGCAAGACCAAAGAGGGGGACCUUAGGGCCUCUUGCCAUCGGAUGUGCCCAGAUGGGAUUAGCUAGUAGGUGGGGUAACGGCUCACCUAGGCGACGAUCCCUAGCUGGUCUGAGAGGAUGACCAGCCACACUGGAACUGAGAAACGGUCCAGACUCCUACGGGAGGCAGCAGUGGGGAAUAUUGCACAAUGGGCGCAAGCCUGAUGCAGCCAUGCCGCGUGUAUGAAGAAGGCCUUCGGGUUGUAAAGUACUUUCAGCGGGGAGGAAGGGAGUAAAGUUAAUACCUUUGCUCAUUGACGUUACCCGCAGAAGAAGCACCGGCUAACUCCGUG